GCCAUUGGGAAUGUAACAUUUAAGUGCCAGGAAUAAGAUUUGGGAUCCUCAACAAACUCUAAGGCCAGUGCAGUGGCACACGCCUGUAAUCCCAACUAUUUGGGAUGCUGAGGCAGGAGGAUCGCUUGAGCCCAGGAGUUCAAGAGAGGCAAGACCAUCAAGUAGACCAGCACACUCCAAACAGAUCUUUGGAAAGAAGGCAUUGAGAGUGGACAGAGGGAGGAUGCAGACCCUGGGGCUGAAAGGAGAGAAAGUUGGGAAUCCUGCACAGGGUUGCCAAGCACUGGAACUCAACCCUGACCACAGGUGGCUCUUAGGGAAGCGAUUAAAAAAUGAUGCUCAAAGAAGUUAAAUAACCGGCCCAAAUUCACAAAAAAAGACAGGGUCUUGUUCUGUCACCCAGGCUGGAGUGGCAUGAUCAUGGCUCACUGCAACUUCUGCCUCCCUGGCUCCCAGCCUCAAGUGAUCCUCCCACUCCAGUCCCCUGAAGCAACUGGGACCACAGAGUAAUUUUAUGCUGAUUGAAGAAAAGAAGUAAACAGAGUUCCAGAAAGCAACUGCAAAUACUCAUUUUGGAAAAGAAAACAAAACAAAAACAAGGGAGACAUUUUAAAAGGUGCUAAAGCAACAGGACCAGUUGCCAGAGAGCUUAUUUUACCUCCCCAAAACAAGGUUGGUGUUUCAUCCUUGAGUUUAGUACACAGGAUUGUUCUUAUUCUUCUGCAGAUAGAGAGGUGCACUGCUUUAUGCUGCAAGUUGUCUAUAAGACAAGUUUUGUGAGUAUCAAAUAUUUGUAAGCAAAUCAAAUUUCUCCCCCAGUUGAAAUGAUUAUUUCAGAAGAAUUUCUUCUUUGUUUUGAAUUGGACUUCUGAGUUGGACUUCUUAGCAUGAUAAAGAAGAAAGAGCAUUAGAAUAAGAAAGAAGAUUAAGCUUCUUGUUUUGAUUAUGCCCAUAAUCAGCUGUGGGACCCCGGGCUAAUGCAUUCCAAAAUCCCACUGUUCUGUGACCUUGCUAUGUGGGGCAUCAGCCUCCUCAUCUCUAAUAUUUUGGAUUUAAGUUAGUUGAUUUUUAUGGUCCCGCAAUGGAAUUCUUUAAACAACUCCACUAAUCCAUGAUACUGUUGCUUUAAAAAUCUUGGUUUUAGCUUUCCUCUAAGGAAUUUAUAGUGACAAUUAUCUACUUUUUUUUUCUUAAAUAAAAAUAGAGGUGGGGUUUUGCCAUGUUGCCCAGGCUGGUCUCAAACUCUUGGGCUCAAGUGAUCUGCCCACCUUGGCCUCCUAAAGUGCUGGGAUGACAGGUGUGAGCCACUGUACCCGGCCAGACCAUAUGUCUCUAGCAUUUUGAUAACAUUCUCUACAAUCUGGGCCCUGUAUAACUCCCCAGUCUUCAGACUACUACUCUCUAUGCUCACUUCUUUGGCGAUUUUAUACUCUUUGCCAAUUUAGAUGCCAUUUGUUUUUUCGUUUCCAGUAGAUUAGUAUGUCCAACCCAGAUUUUGGUAAACCCUAGACUCAUUCUACAGUCUGUGACAUCUCCAUUUGGAUUUCUUCUCGGCAUCUCAGACUCCAUAUGUCUAACCUGGAAUGCCUGAUCUCCAUUGCCUGCUAAACCGGCUUCUCUCACGGCUCUCCCAUCUCGGGGCCCAGCAUCUCAGACCUUUCCCUUGCUUACACCAGACAUUUUGCUGUUAUCUGUACCACCUCCUUCUCGUGCAGUCUACUUGAUGCCACCUAAUUGGUAUCCCUGGCUUCUGCCCUUGUUCUCUUAACGAAUCAUUUUCCAAACAGCAGCCAGAGUGAUCCUUUCAAAAAUGGAUUCAGAAAUCAUGUCACUGCUCUGCCCAAAGUUCCCGAAUGACUUCCCAAUCACUCAGAGCACAAGCUGACGCUCGACACAUCUGGGCCCCGUAAGCUUUUCAUUUCUGCUCCUCCUCCUUUUGCUCACUCUGCCCCUGCCACAUUGGUCUCCUGCUUUCCCGGAACUUGCCCAACAUGUUCCUCCCUCAGGGCCUUCACAUUUGUCAUUUCCUGUCCUAUGAUGCUCUUCCUGCAGAUAUCUACAGCAGCUCCCCGCUGCUCCUUUUGCAGGUUUUUGUUCAGAUGUCAUCUUCCUGGUGAGCUCUUCCCUGAACAGCUUCUCACCCUCUCCACCUUGCCCCCGGGACUCCCUUUGACCUUUCUCGGAUUGUUUUCCCUGUAACUCUUGCCACCACCUCAUACAGGGCUUCUCAAGCUUGGCAUGAUUGGCAUUUUGGGACAGUUCUUUGUUGCGGGCUAUUAUCCUGUGCCUUGCAGGAUGUUUAGCAGCAUCACCACCCUCGACCCACUCAAUACCUGCAACUUUCCUCCCUAGGUUGUGACAGCCAGAAAUGUCUCCAGACACUGCCAAAUGUCUCCUGGGGGACAAAACCACCCCUGGUUGAGAAUCUUUGAUAUAAUGUAAAUAUGCAUUUUACCUAUGUAUUUGUUUAUUGUUUCUCCCUUCCCCACCAAUAAAAUAUAAUCUCCAUGAGAACAGGAAUUUUUGUGUCUAUUUUCCACUGAUGUAAUGCAGGCACUCUGAAUAGGGUAUGAUGCAUAGUAGGUGCUCAAACAGAUAUUUCACUGGUGAAUAAAUGAAAUGUGCUCUGACCUUGUUCCUCUGUGCUCAUUAAGCUCUAGCCACACUGACCUUUCUUCCACCUCUCAGACAUCUGAAGCUCCUUCUCACCUUUCAGUCUUUUUCUUUCAGAUCUCACUCCUGGAAAGCUCUAUUCGCAGGUCUCUGUUUACUUGUUACUCAGGUCCAAUAACACCUGCUUAGAGAGGCUUCCCUGAUCACCGUAUCCUACAUGACCCUCCCUGCCAGCCAGAGUCACUCUCUAUAUUGUUACUGUGUUUUAGUUUCUGCAUUACAUUUGUCUUGGAAAUUAUCUUGUUUACGUGGCAGGUGUGCAUCUUGCUCCCUUAAAUGAAUGCUCCUUGACCACUCCACAUUAUCUGCUUUGUUUAUUAACGGCAGUAAUCUGAAACAGUAGUCUAAAACAGUGCAAGGUCCAUCGUUGAUGGGCUGAUUAAAUAAGUAUGCCUGUCUUUUAAUCAAUUCAGGGUGGAAGAGAGUCUCUAUAGAAAGGGUUUAAGGGCUGUGUCUGUCAAGGUCCAGUAGCAAAAAAAAAAGAAAAAAGAAAAAAAAAAGAGUCUGCUCUAGCUAAUUUGAACAGAAAGGGAUUAAUUAGAGAAUGUGGUUCACCGUCGAGAAGGCUGCAGCAACAUCCUCCACAGUGAGCUUUCAGGAACCACCUUGGAAACCACACACUGACUGGGCCACCAAAGUACAGACUGCUCUUCUUUGAUUGGGAGAACUACAGCCAAGCUGGGACACUGAGGGGUCAGCUGCUGGGUCUGGGACCAAAUGACCACUUCUGGGAAGAUCACACCUGCAUGAAAAGGAGGUCAGCACUACUGGGAACUGACAAGAUCAAGAGACUGGGGUAAUGACUCAGUGUGGUUCUCCCCGUGUACAUGUUAAUAAAAUGUAUAUCCCUUUUCUCCAAUUAAAAAAAAAUUCCCUAGC
Long non-coding RNA from Pan troglodytes (chimpanzee), 3552 nucleotides. RefSeq lists it as uncharacterized. The record is from RefSeq and is a predicted model, not a curated record. Lineage: Eukaryota; Metazoa; Chordata; Mammalia; Primates; Hominidae. The transcript has 6 exons.